GACGAACGCUGGCGGCGUGCUUAACACAUGCAAGUCGAACGGAAAGGCCCUUCGGGGUACUCGAGUGGCGAACGGGUGAGUAACACGUGGGUGAUCUGCCCCGCACUUUGGGAUAAGCCUGGGAAACUGGGUCUAAUACCGAAUAGGACCACGCGCUUCAUGGUGUGUGGUGGAAAGCUUUUGCGGUGUGGGAUGGGCCCGCGGCCUAUCAGCUUGUUGGUGGGGUAAUGGCCUACCAAGGCGACGACGGGUAGCCGGCCUGAGAGGGUGACCGGCCACACUGGGACUGAGAUACGGCCCAGACUCCUACGGGAGGCAGCAGUGGGGAAUAUUGCACAAUGGGCGCAAGCCUGAUGCAGCGACGCCGCGUGAGGGAUGACGGCCUUCGGGUUGUAAACCUCUUUCAAUAGGGACGAAGCGCAAGUGACGGUACCUAUAGAAGAAGCACCGGCCAACUACGUG
This 462-nucleotide ribosomal RNA is filed under the name uncultured bacterium. Its description in RNAcentral is "partial 16S ribosomal RNA". It matches the Rfam family "Bacterial small subunit ribosomal RNA", at positions 28 to 507 of the family's 1533-position model. The record is from RNAcentral.